GUCUACACCGAAGAAUUUGCCAGAAGUGGCUCCCCUAUUUGCAUAGAAAUUGACAGUUCCAGGCCCGCUGAUAUGUUAUCUGAUUUAGCACCAAAGAACAAGGGCAGAUAGUGAGAGACAUAGUCCUGUAGUGCUGUCACGGGUCUUGCUCAGAACCUUCACACAGCUGCCCAGGUCAAUGAGAUGCAGCCUGCUCCUGCCUCCCGACACUAAACAAAAAAUGGUAUCAGUAGGAAAUAUCAAUUUUAAAUUUCAACAUUCCCAAUACAAAUAAACUGAAGAAGAACAAGGAGCCCUACAGCAGAUGGUGUGACCCCCACAGAGGCCGGACCUCAACAUCAUUGACUCUGUCUGGGAUUAAAUGAAGAGACAGAAGCAAUUGAGACAGCCUAAAUAGAUAGAAGAACUGUGGCAAGUUCUGCAAGAAGCUUGGAACAUCCUAUCUGUCAACAACCAAGAAAAAUGGUGUCCAGGUGUACCUAGAAGGAUUGGUGCUGUUUUGAAGGCUAAGGUUGUCCAGCCAUAUAUUGAUUUAGCCUUUUUUAUGUUUACUGGAAUUUGAAUGUCAUUAAUUGAUAAAUGAAAACUUUUUAUGGCAUUCAUUUUGAAGAAAUCCUGCAACAUUUUUCACAAGUGCCUAAAACUUCUGCACAGUACUAUAUAUACAGUAUACUGUAUAUACUGUAUAUGGUACUGAACGAUUACCAUAUUCAAGGACCAUGGUAUUUACAUAUGUAAAACAAGGAACUUCAAAAAAUACCAUGGUACCAUGUCCAAAACAUGGAAACAACAUGACACUUUUUGGUACUUUUUUCUAACAUCUAAAGCCAGACAAGUAGUAGACAAUAAAGAUAACUUUUUGGUCAAACUCUUACAUUAAUGAGCCUACAUUUUAAAUGGUAACAUUAUUUUCUAUGUGAUUCUAUGAUGUA
Molecule: long non-coding RNA, 932 nt
Organism: Myxocyprinus asiaticus (Chinese sucker)
Lineage: Eukaryota; Metazoa; Chordata; Actinopteri; Cypriniformes; Catostomidae
Exons: 3
Source: RefSeq, a predicted model, not a curated record